AUGCCGAAGCGCCCGCUGCCGCUUCAGCCAUGCGGGCACAACACCACCGCAAAGCGAGGGAACCACCGCGACCGCCGGCGGCAGCCGCGGCGCCGCCAUGUGUAUCUGGUGGUGGAUGACUGUGAGAGAGGAUACAGCGUCCGCAAGAUAGACGUCGGCACCUUCAGCCCGCAGGCGGAGGCGGCGGGCCGGGAGCCGGAGCAGCUGCCCGAGCCUGCCGUGGCGCGGUUCGAGGGCCACCACGGCCGUCUGGCGUUCUUCGGCGCGCACGGCACCAAGAUACUCGCCAUGCCGGCCUACGGCGCCGCCGACUUCCCCGUCUACGACGUCGAGACGUCGGGGAUCACCCUCUGCGCCCACCCCAACGGCCGCAAGAUCUGCGGCCCGCCCUUGCUGGCAUCCGUCGCCGGCGCGCUGUACAUGAUAGUCGAGUCCUCCCUGGCCGUCCUCGACGCCCAGCCGCCGCCCAACGGCGACGAGUGCAAGGCAUGGGCCUGGACCUUCCUGCCGGCGCACCUCCCAUCGUUCCAGUCGCCAGACGUCAAAUCGUUGGCCGUGCACCCGGACGGGCGGACGCUCUUCGUCUCCGCCAGGCGGAGAACGUUCUCGCUGAACACCAGGAGCCUCGAGUGGACGUGCCGGGGCAACUGGGCCAUGCCUUUCAGCGGCGAAGCAUACUUUGAUCGGGACCUGGAUGCCUGGAUGGGGCUCUGCAUCCAUGAGGGCGGCUUCGGCCAUGUCUGCUCCUGCGACGCCGUGCCCGUCGUCGCCGCCGGUGCCCUCCAGACCAUGCCGGCGUGGAAGCUGGGGAAGGACCGGCUGUUCCACGCAGACCGCGAGAGGCACCUAGGCGCCACGCUCCUCUUCAUGGGGGACGACGACAGCUACUGCCUGCUCGAGUGUGUCUCGGCCGACGACCAGGACGAGGAUGAGUACGCGGCCCACCGUGUGUACCAUAUCACUACGUUCGGUCUCAAUUACGAUAAAGAUGGAGAGCUGAGAGCUACCAGGCGAAGGGCACACGCCUAUGAGAUGACAGACGCACAUGAGAUGAAUGAACUAUACAAGCGUCCAACUGCAUUCUGGAUGUAA
RNAcentral lists this ribosomal RNA (1092 nucleotides) under Triticum aestivum (bread wheat). RNAcentral describes it as "partial small subunit ribosomal RNA". Lineage: Eukaryota; Viridiplantae; Streptophyta; Magnoliopsida; Poales; Poaceae. The record is from RNAcentral.